RNAcentral lists this small RNA (516 nucleotides) under Pan troglodytes (chimpanzee). Its description in RNAcentral is "retained intron". Lineage: Eukaryota; Metazoa; Chordata; Mammalia; Primates; Hominidae. The record is from RNAcentral.
GGACAAGCCUCUCCUGUCUGCCCUGGACUUUGAAAAGCAGAGUUCCACAGGAGAUCUUUCCAGCAUCUCGGGAUCAGAAGACUCAGACUCAGCCAGUGAGGAGGACUUGCAGACACUGGAUCGGGAGAGGGCUACAUUUGAGAAGUUGAGCCGACCCCCAGGCUUUUACCCUCAUCGAGUUCUUUUCCAGAAUGCCCAGGGCCAGUUUCUUUAUGCCUACCGCUGUGUCCUAGGCCCUCAUCAGGAUCCCCCAGAAGAGGCAGAACUGCUGCUACAGAACCUGCAAAGUAGAGGUCCCAGAGACUGCGUGGUGCUCAUGGCUGCAGCUGGGCACUUUGCUGGUGCUAUAUUUCAAGGAAGAGAAGUGGUGACACACAAAACUUUUCACCGCUAUACGGUUCGGGCCAAGCGGGGCACAGCCCAGGGGCUUCGGGAUGCCCGAGGUGGGCCAUCACGCUCUGCUGGAGCCAACCUGAGGCGCUACAAUGAAGCCACACUAUAUAAGGUGAGUUAAGC